AUUACAAUAGCUCAGCUGGCAGAGCAACCGGCUCAUAACCGGUCGGUCCCUGGUUCGAAUCCAGGUGGGCCCACCA
Molecule: transfer RNA, 76 nt
Filed under: Candidatus Atribacteria bacterium 4572_76
Lineage: Bacteria; Pseudomonadati; Atribacterota
Description: tRNA-Met
Rfam family: tRNA (bases 7-66)
About the family: Transfer RNA (tRNA) molecules are approximately 80 nucleotides in length.
Source: RNAcentral